This 292-nucleotide ribosomal RNA is filed under the name uncultured bacterium. RNAcentral describes it as "partial 16S ribosomal RNA". It matches the Rfam family "Bacterial small subunit ribosomal RNA", at positions 505 to 796 of the family's 1533-position model. The record is from RNAcentral.
GUGUCAGCAGCCGCGGUAAUACGUAGGGGGCGAGCGUUGUCCGGAAUUAUUGGGCGUAAAGCGCGCGCAGGCGGUUUCUUAAGUCUGAUGUGAAAGCCCGUGGCUCAACCACGGAGGGUCAUUGGAAACUGGGAAGCUUGAGUGCAGAAGAGGAGAGUGGAAUUCCACGUGUAGCGGUGAAAUGCGUAGAUAUGUGGAGGAACACCAGUGGCGAAAGCGGCUCUCUGGUCUGUAACUGACGCUGAGGCGCGAAAGCGUGGGGAGCAAACAGGAUUAGAUACCCUGGUAGUCC